This 711-nucleotide long non-coding RNA is filed under the name Olea europaea subsp. europaea. Lineage: Eukaryota; Viridiplantae; Streptophyta; Magnoliopsida; Lamiales; Oleaceae. The record is from RNAcentral.
CUCCUAUUAUAAGAUUGUUACGAAUUGUAGAUUCAGAUGAAAAACCUUCAUUAGGUUAUAUAUAUGGUGGCAUGCAUGGAGCACAAAAAGGAAUCAAGAACAUAUUCUUAAAUAAGAAGAGAUUGUACAAACCUUACACUGAUAUGAUUAAGGAGCGAUGGGAUAAACAUGUUCGUCUUAACAUACAUGCAGCAGCUUAUUUUUUUCAAUCCUGCUUUCAUUUAUGAAGAAGGAUUUUGUCAAAAAGUAGAAGUCAUGCAAGCUCUAUUCAAUUUGCUUGAAAUCAAAAGUAUUUGUGGUGAUGAGACAAAAGCAAUGGGGGAGAUAAGGAUGUAUCUAUAACGUGAAGGGAGUUUUGGAAGGCAAUCUGCAUGUAAUACUAGAAAAUCAUUACAACCUGGUGAGAAAUUGUAUUUAGUUAUUUAUUGUUUAUUUUUAAUAGUUCUUAGCGCUUGAAACUAAUUUUAUUAAAUUAUGCAGAUGAAUGGUGGAAAUUGUGUGGAUCUAGUGCUCCAACUUUGCAAAAGAUAGCUGUUCGAAUACUUGGUCAAACAGCUUCUUUUUCGGGAUGUGAAAGGAAUUGGAGUGUCUUUGAACGUAUUCACACAAAAAAAAAAAAAAUAGAUUGGAGCAUCAAAGACUCAAUGAUCUUGUCUAUGUUACGUAUAAUUUGCGAUUGAAGAAUAGGUAUAUAAUCUUAAACUUUUUACC